GCAAGUCGAGGGGCAGCGGGGGCGGAAGCUUGCUUUCGCCCGCCGGCGACCGGCGCACGGGUGAGUAACACGUAUGCAACCUGGCCCCCACAGGGGGAUAACCCGCGGAAACGCGGCCUAAUACCCCUUUACGCCACCGGCGGGCAUCCUCCGGUGGCCCAAGGAGUGAUCCGGUGGCGGAUGGGCAUGCGGCGCAUUAGCUAGACGGCGGGGUGACGGCCCACCGUGGCGACGAUGCGUAGGGGUUCUGAGAGGGAGGCC
This 261-nucleotide ribosomal RNA is filed under the name uncultured bacterium. RNAcentral describes it as "partial 16S ribosomal RNA". It matches the Rfam family "Bacterial small subunit ribosomal RNA", at positions 57 to 305 of the family's 1533-position model. The record is from RNAcentral.